This 315-nucleotide ribosomal RNA is filed under the name uncultured eukaryote. RNAcentral describes it as "partial large subunit ribosomal RNA". It matches the Rfam family "Eukaryotic large subunit ribosomal RNA", at positions 40 to 350 of the family's 3401-position model. The record is from RNAcentral.
AUAUAAUUAAGCGGAGGAAAAGAAACUAAACAGGAUUCCCUUAGUAACGGCGAGUGAACCGGGAAGAGCUCAAACUGAAAAUCCUUUUUGGUCUCCAAAUUGGAAUUGUAGUCUAUAGAGGCACUGUCAGUUGUGGCCCCGACCAAAGUGUACUGGAAAGUGCCGGCAUGGAGGGUGAGACCCCCGUUCCAGGUUGGGAGUCCGCAGCGUACGACAUGUCUUCUAAGAGUCGGGUUGCUUGGGAGUGCAGUCCAAAGUGCGAGGUAAACUCCUCGUAAGGCUAAAUAUGACCCCGAGACCGAUAGCGCACAAGUA